GACGAACGCUGGCGGCGUGCCUAAUACAUGCAAGUAGAACGCUGAAGAGAGGAGCUUGCUCUUCUUGGAUGAGUUGCGAACGGGUGAGUAACGCGUAGGUAACCUGCCUGGUAGCGGGGGAUAACUAUUGGAAACGAUAGCUAAUACCGCAUAAAAUGGAUUAUCGCAUGAUAAUCAAUUGAAAGGUGCAAAUGCAUCACUACCAGAUGGACCUGCGUUGUAUUAGCUAGUUGGUGGGGUAACGGCUCACCAAGGCGACGAUACAUAGCCGACCUGAGAGGGUGAUCGGCCACACUGGGACUGAGACACGGCCCAGACUCCUACGGGAGGCAGCAGUAGGGAAUCUUCGGCAAUGGACGGAAGUCUGACCGAGCAACGCCGCGUGAGUGAAGAAGGUUUUCGGAUCGUAAAGCUCUGUUGUAAGAGAAGAACGAGUGUGAGAGUGGAAAGUUCACAC
RNAcentral lists this ribosomal RNA (457 nucleotides) under Streptococcus sp. oral taxon 071. RNAcentral describes it as "bacterial SSU rRNA". It matches the Rfam family "Bacterial small subunit ribosomal RNA", at positions 28 to 469 of the family's 1533-position model. The record is from RNAcentral. Lineage: Bacteria; Bacillati; Bacillota; Bacilli; Lactobacillales; Streptococcaceae.